GACGAACGCUGGCGGCGUGCUUAACACAUGCAAGUCGAACGGAAAUGCCCUGCUUUUGUGGGGUGCUCGAGUGGCGAAAGGGUGAGUAACACGUGAGUAACCUGCCCUUGACUUUGGGAUAACUUCAGGAAACUGGGGCUAAUACCGGAUAGGAUCUCCUGCUGCAUGGUGUGGGUUGGAAAGUUUCGGCGGUUGGGGAUGGACUCGCGGCUUAUCAGCUUGUUGGUGGGGUAGUGGCUUACCAAGGCUUUGACGGGUAGCCGGCCUGAGAGGGUGACCGGCCACAUUGGGACUGAGAUACGGCCCAGACUCCUACGGGAGGCAGCAGUGGGGAAUAUUGCACAAUGGGCGGAAGCCUGAUGCAGCAACGCCGCGUGCGGGAUGACGGGCUGUGGGUUGUAAACCGCUUUCGCCUGUGACGAAGCGUGAGUGACGGUAAUGGGUAAAGAAGCAACGGCUAACUACGUG
RNAcentral lists this ribosomal RNA (468 nucleotides) under uncultured bacterium. RNAcentral's name for it is "partial 16S ribosomal RNA". It matches the Rfam family "Bacterial small subunit ribosomal RNA", at positions 28 to 507 of the family's 1533-position model. The record is from RNAcentral.